UACGGAGGGGGCUAGCGUUGUUCGGAAUUACUGGGCGUAAAGCGCGCGUAGGCGGACCUGCAAGUCGGGGGUGAAAGCCCGAGGCUCAACCUCGGAACUGCCUUCGAUACUGCGGGUCUCGAGUCCGGGAGAGGUGAGUGGAAUUCCUAGUGUAGAGGUGAAAUUCGUAGAUAUCGAGAGGAACACCAGAGGUGAAGACGGGUUGCUGGGCUGACACUGACGCUGAGGCGCGAAAGCCAGGGGAGCAAACGGG
This 253-nucleotide ribosomal RNA is filed under the name uncultured bacterium. RNAcentral's name for it is "partial 16S ribosomal RNA". It matches the Rfam family "Bacterial small subunit ribosomal RNA", at positions 524 to 776 of the family's 1533-position model. The record is from RNAcentral.